Molecule: ribosomal RNA, 500 nt
Filed under: uncultured bacterium
Lineage: Bacteria
Description: partial 16S ribosomal RNA
Rfam family: Bacterial small subunit ribosomal RNA
Source: RNAcentral
AUUGAACGCUGGCGGCAUGCCUUACACAUGCAAGUCGAACGGCAGCACGGGUGCUUGCACCUGGUGGCGAGUGGCGAACGGGUGAGUAUACAUCGGAACGUACCUUAUCGUGGGGGAUAACGCAGCGAAAGCUGUGCUAAUACCGCAUACGCCCUGAGGGGGAAAGCGGGGGAUCGCAAGACCUCGCGCGAUUAGAGCGGCCGAUGCCUGAUUAGCUAGGUGGUGGGGUAAAAGCCCACCAAGGCGACGAUCAGUAGCUGGUCUGAGAGGACGAUCAGCCACACGGGGACUGAGACACGGCCCAGACUCCUACGGGAGGCAGCAGUGGGGAAUUUUGGACAAUGGGGGCAACCCUGAUCCAGCAAUGCCGCGUGAGUGAAGAAGGCCUUCGGGUUGUAAAGCUCUUUUGUCAGGGAAGAAACACCGGCUCUAACACAGUCCGGGAAUGACGGUACCUGAAGAAUAAGCACCGGCUAACUACGUGCCAGCCGCCGCAGUAA